CACUUACACCCAUUUUUAAAAUUACGGGGCCAACCCGAAAAUAAUCUUACUUGACGUGUGAAAUUUACUACCGUUUGCAAGUAACCAUCAACUUCAAACUUUUCGCAAACGGUUUUCCACAUCAAUUUCGUUGGUUUAUAUUUCAAGUGUUCAGCAUGCUUUUUGUCGCUUGGCAACAAGCUUGUCAGUUCUCAAGGAAUGUUGGGAAACAGAGGCGUAGUCAGGAUUUUUGGUCAAGGGGGGGCAGCAAAAAUCCAGGUGGGGCCAACAUUUUCCACAGCUUCUCUCGUAUUCUCCCAACAUUCCUCGUGUAUUAUCACACCAUAAUUUUUGGCGCUCAGUCAGUACAUAACCAUG
This is a non-coding RNA of Paramuricea clavata, 357 nucleotides long. The record is from the annotation of a GenBank genome assembly. Lineage: Eukaryota; Metazoa; Cnidaria; Anthozoa; Malacalcyonacea; Plexauridae.